RNAcentral lists this ribosomal RNA (580 nucleotides) under Plutonaster agassizi. RNAcentral describes it as "partial 16S ribosomal RNA". It matches the Rfam family "Bacterial large subunit ribosomal RNA", at positions 1816 to 2597 of the family's 2925-position model. The record is from RNAcentral. Lineage: Eukaryota; Metazoa; Echinodermata; Asteroidea; Paxillosida; Astropectinidae.
CGCCCUUUGAAAAGAAAACUUAAAGAUAAAGGGUUCUGCCUGCCCAGUGACAAUAGUUUAACGGCCGCGGUAUUUUGACCGUGCAAAGGUAGCAUAAUCAUUUGCCUUUUAAAUGGAGGCUGGAAUGAAUGGCAAGACGAAAAUUUGACUGUCUCUCUCUUAAAGUCCUGAAAUUAAUAUCCUUGUGAAGAAGCGGGGAUUAGGUCGUGGGACGAGAAGACCCUAUUGAGCUUAAGCAAUAGUUGGGAGUACUAUUAUUUUAUUUUAGGCUAAUUAUUUAAUAAUGUAAAUUUACUUUUAAUAAAAAGAAUACUGCCCAUGAAUUGCUUUGGUUGGGGCAACCGCGGAGAAAAGUUAACCUCCGCUGAUAAAAAAUAAAAGAUACUACUUUAAUAUGGAAGAGUUUUAUAUUAGUGAUCCACUAUAAAGUGAUCAAAGGAAAAAGUUACCAUAGGGAUAACAGCGUAAUUUUUUUGGAGAGUUCAUAUUGAUAAAAAAGUUUGCGACCUCGAUGUUGGAUCGAGACUUCCUAGGGGUGUAGCAGCUCUUAAGGGUUGGUCUGUUCGACCAUUAAAGUCUU